Molecule: non-coding RNA, 209 nt
Organism: Arachis ipaensis
Lineage: Eukaryota; Viridiplantae; Streptophyta; Magnoliopsida; Fabales; Fabaceae
Source: RefSeq, a predicted model, not a curated record
CCUUUUUAAUUUUUUCUAGGGUAUGGCAUGACACAGCGGUACCCUUCAAGGAAGUUAUUCAAUAAUUUGAAGCUUGGCUGAUGCAACGUCAAUUAUGGAAAGGUGGGAGCCUUGUUGGUGCAGCAUUUGUAACUUGUGGAAAUUGGGAUUUGAAGACAAAGGUACCUCAGCAGUGUCAGGUGUCAAAACUAAAGCUUCCACCAUAUUUU